AAAAUUAGCGCGGCCAGAGUCCAAAAUAUCUGCCCGGAACCACCCACCCCGCACCUUCUCCCUCCCCUUGCAGAUCUGUGCCCCUCCCCACCCGCUCUUCGCCGAUCGUGGUGACCUUGCCGUGCUGCCUGUGGUCACAGGACGGCCUCGCCCGUGGAGGUCGACCGGGCUGCGAACCUCACGUCAUGGUGACCGCGUCGUUCGCUGCCGAUUCAGUACAGCCCCCAAUAACCCCACCGCAACCGGCUUUCUCGCCGACCACCGCCACCGACGAGCGUCCUCCUCCCCGGUGGAGACCGUUCGCCGCUCCCUCCCCAACCUCCCACGUCCAGUGCCUGCUUCUUCGCUGACCAACGCCGCUGUCCACCACCUCCGCCAUCUGACAACCGGUGAGAUUUGACAGGUGAGACCCUUCGUCGCUUCCUCCCUCACGGAGACCCUUCGUCGUUUCCUCCCCAAACUCCUGCGCCCAGGACCUGAACAUUUGACCGGUGAGGUUUAUUUGCAUCCCUGUUCGUUUUGUUUUGCUGAGCAGUAACUAAAACGAUAUCAGCAAGUGUUUGAGUUUGUAUGACACUACAGUUGUGAAGUUAAUCAGUAGGUAACAAACAUGCUCGGAUAUUCCCUACUCCCUCCGUUCCUAAAUACUUGUCUUUCUAGAGAUUUUAACAAAUGACUACAUACAAAGUAAAAUGGUUGAAUCUACAUUCUAAAAUAUGUCUACAUACAUCCGUAUGUUGUAGUCCAUUUGAAUGUCUAGAAAGACAAAUAUUUAGGAACAGAGGGAGUAGAAUGUAUUUUUUCCAUCCGAGCCCAAGUUUUAUUUCUGGUGAAGAGAAGUUAGCAUACUAUGUCAUGAUACAAGUGAGGAAACAGUAAUAUAUGAAACAUUCUAGUAAAUAUAUGAACAAUGGCAGUGGAUACUUCUCAAUGACAUGGAUUCUAGUAAGUAUUAUCAGUUUAGGUAAUUCUCGUGGUCUUCUAGUAUUUGUGCAUCAGUAAUAUAAGCAACAUGUCAGUAAUCCCUUAGGAGUUAAACAAGAUGGGUGUAAACAAGUGGAUGCUACAAUUGAAUAAAAAAUCAGUGAAACCUAUACAUAGGCUGCAGCUGGGCCUUGUGGAUACAACAUGCCUUCUGUUGCUGGCAUACCAUUCUAAUCAGCUUAAUUCAACACUAUAGGCACUUCGUUUGCUUCCUGGUCUUAUGAUCACAAGUGUUUGCACUGUUGAUCUUGUGCAACAAUGUGCAAAGCCUCGUAAGUUCGCUUAUAAGACGAGCCCAACCUAUUCUAGCCAGGCUGCUAGGAUGCGGAUUGCGCGAUGGAAAUAAAUAUCUGUGUUGAUAAUUAAAUUCCUUUAUAACUGCUAGUUCUAGUUCAUUCUAUCAUAGAACACAAAGCAGGUCUCCCUAUUUUUCUCUAUUUUUCUAGGUUAAUCUGGGUUUAGUUUUGCAAAUCUACAGCAGUCAAUUCCUAAUCCCUUUUCCUCUGUUUCAAUUUCAUAGGAGUCAAGAUUUACAAUUCUGCAGCAGUCAAUUAAAAAGAAGGUAACAACAAUGCUAUGUGAUAUGGCAUUUUUGUGGUGAUUUUUAUGUGUCUAGAUGGAAUUAAAAUGCUACCAUGUGCUCAAUUUUUGUAUUGUGAAAGUCAUGCUAUCUUGUAAAAAUAGUAUGCUACAUAUAUUUAGGCAGUAGAUGUAUUUUUGAUUCAUGGUGUCCAUGAAAUCUUGUAGUCUUGUGUUACAUUCCGCGCAUAUGAAAAUCUGCAGCAAUUUGGUACAAGCACCACCCUGAAUCACAGUUUGAGGUGUUCCAUCUUAUUUUAUUGUCUCUCUAUAUCUUUCCCAAGCUUUUUUUGUCAUGCAUGCCCCUAUUUCUCGGUCCUUAAGCUUGUACAGCGAGUAUAUAUGUCAUUUUUGUUGCUUACAUUUUUUUUAAAAACUCUGAGGGUUUAAUUGAACCUUUAUAUAACAUAAGCUGGAGUUGCACGAGCACGGAAUUAUGGAUGUCAUUUCUUCUAUAAGUUUGCACAAUUGUCACUUCAUCUAGUUUUUUUGUUCAUUUUCAGUCUUAUCCCAGUUUAGUUUUUCUUUUUAAGUUUAAAUUUUCAGUUUGGGGUGUUGUCAAUUUAAUUCUCAGUCUUUGUCUCUAUCUAGCAUUUUCUCCGUCUUUAUUCAUUUAGUGCUUGUUGUCUUCAGCCCCAUAUCGCGGUGGCCAGGGGAAUAAGAAUCAUAUUUAGUAAUUCAUUUUCUUCAGUUUGGUCAGUAGUUUUAGUGUUAUGCGUCUUUUUCAUCAGUUUUGUCUGUAGUUUCAGUCAUGGAAUUUUGGCAUACCUUUAAAAGGAACAUGUGACUGGUUCUUCAUCGUCCUUGUUUGCUCGCAUUGGUAUUUCUUCAAAAAUGUAGAUGGGAUAAAAAGAUGAAAGGGGAGGAGGCCACGACGGCAAAGGCUAUUUAGGUCAUUUGGUGUGUUGCUGACUUCACUGCAUUUUUCGGAUGGUCCUCUCAAGACUUAGGAUCGACAACUUGAUGCAAGUGAUCAGUCGAUGUUUGGAGCGUAUACAUCUCAAAAGCCAACAUUGUGUUGUGUGUCCAGUUAAUUAACAUGCUGACUGAAUUGUUUUUCUGUAGAAACUCUAGUUGAUAUGUGAUCUAGUCCAUAGCAGAUUGUAAAUGUCGAUUGAAGUGUUUUCCUCAUUUAGCAACUUAAUCUAGCCUUUCUUUGGAUUGAUGGCUGGUAUGAAUACAUUGGAUGCUGAAUAUCUGCUGAUUUAUGAAUGAUUUGAGUUAUGACGUAUCCUA
Molecule: long non-coding RNA, 2799 nt
Organism: Triticum dicoccoides
Lineage: Eukaryota; Viridiplantae; Streptophyta; Magnoliopsida; Poales; Poaceae
Exons: 2
Source: RefSeq, a predicted model, not a curated record